AGCGGAGGAAAAGAAACCAACAGGGGAUUGCCUCAGUAACGGCGAGUGAAGCGGCAACAGCUCAAAUUUGAAAUCUGGCUUCGGUCCGAGUUGUAAUUUGCAGAGGAAGUCUCGGGUGCGAUACCGGUCUAAGUUCCUUAGAACAGGACGUCAUAGAGGGUGAGAAUCCCGUAUGCGACUGGUGGUCAACCCCAUGUGAGGCCCCUUCGACGAGUCGAGUUGUUUGGGAAUGCAGCUCAAAAUGGGUGGUAAAUUUCAUCUAAAGCUAAAUACCGGCCAGAGACCGAUAGCGCACAAGUAGAGUGAUCGAAAGAUGAAAAGCACUUUGGAAAGAGAGUUAAACAGUACGUGAAAUUGUUGAAAGGGAAGCGCUUGCAACCAGACUUGCUCGCGGGUGAUCCACCGCCCUUCGGGGUGGUCUACUCGCCCGCGAUCAGGCCAACAUCGGUUUCGGUGGCUGGAUACAGACCCCGGGAAUGUGGCUCCCUUCGGGGUGUGUUAUAGCCCGGGGUGCAAUGCAGCCCACCGGGACCGAGGACCGCGCUCCGGCUAGGAUGUUGGCGUAAUGGUUGUCAGCGACCCGUCUUGAAACACGGACCAAGGAGUCUAACAUCUAUGCGAGUGUUUGGGUGUCAAACCCAUACGCGUAAUGAAAGUGAACGGAGGUGGGAACCCCUUGGGGUGCACCAUCGACCGAUCCUGAUGUCUUCGGAUGGAUUUGAGUAUGAGCAUAGCUGUUGGGACCCGAAAGAUGGUGAACUAUGCCUGAAUAGGGUGAAGCCAGAGGAAACUCUGGUGGAGGCUCGCAGCGGUUCUGACGUGCAAAUCGAUCGUCAAAUUUGGGUAUAGGGGCGAAAGACUAAUCGAACCAUCUAGUAGCUGGACCU
This 887-nucleotide ribosomal RNA is filed under the name Baeomyces placophyllus. Its description in RNAcentral is "partial large subunit ribosomal RNA". It matches the Rfam family "Eukaryotic large subunit ribosomal RNA", at positions 49 to 958 of the family's 3401-position model. Lineage: Eukaryota; Fungi; Ascomycota; Lecanoromycetes; Baeomycetales; Baeomycetaceae. The record is from RNAcentral.